GAUGAACGCUAGCUACAGGCUUAACACAUGCAAGUCGAGGGGUAACGAGAGGAAAGCUUGCUUUCCUUGUCGACGACCGGCGCACGGGUGAGUAACGCGUAUCCAACCUGCCCCCAACUAGGGAAUAACCUUGCGAAAGUAAGACUAAUACCCUAUAAUUUCCUCAGAUGCCAUCUGACGAGGAAUAAAGAUUUAUCGGUUGUGGAUGGGGAUGCGUCUGAUUAGCUUGUUGGCGGGGUAACGGCCCACCAAGGCAACGAUCAGUAGGGGUUCUGAGAGGAAGGUCCCCCACAGUGGGACUGAGACACGGUCCAAACUCCUACGGGAGGCAGCAGUGAGGAAUAUUGGUCAAUGGGCGGAAGCCUGAACCAGCCAAGUAGCGUGCAGGAUGACGGCCCUAUGGGUUGUAAACUGCUUUUAUACAGGAAUAAAGUUAGCCACGUGUGGUUAUUUGUAGGUACUGUAUGAAUAAGGACCGGCUAAUUCCGUGCCAGCAGCCGCAGUAA
RNAcentral lists this ribosomal RNA (506 nucleotides) under uncultured bacterium. RNAcentral describes it as "partial 16S ribosomal RNA". It matches the Rfam family "Bacterial small subunit ribosomal RNA", at positions 28 to 523 of the family's 1533-position model. The record is from RNAcentral.